GAGUUUGAUCGUGGCUCGGGACGAACGCUGGCGGCGUGCCUAACACAUGCAAGUCGUACGGGAUCAUUGAUAAGCUUGCUUAAAGAUGGUCUAGUGGCGGACGGGUGAGUAACGCGUGAGGAACCUGCCUUUCAGAGGGGGAUAACGUCUGGAAACGGACGCUAAUACCGCAUAACAUCAGAGAGUCACAUGGCUUUUUGAUCAAAGGAGCAAUCCGCUGAGAGAUGGACUCGCGUCCGAUUAGCCAGUUGGUGAGGUAAUGGCCCACCAAAGCAGCGAUCGGUAGCCGGGCUGAGAGGCUGAACGGCCACAUUGGGACUGAGACACGGCCCAGACUCCUACGGGAGGCAGCAGUGGGGGAUAUUGCACAAUGGAGGAAACUCUGAUGCAGCAACGCCGCGUGAGGGAGACGGUCUUCGGAUUGUAAACCUUUGUCUUCGGUGACGAUAAUGACGGUAGCCGAGGAGGAAGCUCCGGCUAACUACGUGCCAGCAGCCGCGGUAAGACC
This 508-nucleotide ribosomal RNA is filed under the name bacterium enrichment culture clone OZDCA234. Its description in RNAcentral is "bacterial SSU rRNA". It matches the Rfam family "Bacterial small subunit ribosomal RNA", at positions 9 to 527 of the family's 1533-position model. The record is from RNAcentral.